Molecule: ribosomal RNA, 449 nt
Filed under: Aulacus sp. DERV043
Lineage: Eukaryota; Metazoa; Arthropoda; Insecta; Hymenoptera; Aulacidae
Description: partial 16S ribosomal RNA
Source: RNAcentral
AUCAAAAACAUAUUUUUUUGAGUAAAAUAAAAAAUUUAGUCUGCUCUAUGAAAAAUUUAAAUGGCUGCAGUAAUUUUUGACUGUACUAAGGUAGCAUAAUCAUUUGUUUUUUAAAUGGAAACUAGAAUGAAAGAUUGCAUGAAAUAUAAACUUUAUUAAUUUUAUUAAUUAUUGAAAUUAAUUAUUGAGUAAAAAGGCUUAAAUAAAUUUUUUAGACGAGAAGACCCUAUAGAACUUUAUAAAUUAUUUUAUAAAUAAAUUUAUUUGUUUAUGAUAGUUAAUAAAAUAAUUUAUUUUAUUGGGGUAAUAAUAAAAUUUAAUUAAUUUUUAAUAUUUAAUCAAUAAUAAUUGAUUUUAAAAUAAUAAAAAUUAUUUUUUUAUUAAUUAAAAUUAGUUACUUUAGGGAUAACAGCAUAAUUAUAUUUAUAAAAUUUUCAUAUAAGAUAUAG